This 378-nucleotide ribosomal RNA is filed under the name uncultured archaeon. RNAcentral describes it as "bacterial SSU rRNA". It matches the Rfam family "Archaeal small subunit ribosomal RNA", at positions 691 to 1068 of the family's 1478-position model. The record is from RNAcentral.
CCGACGGUGAGGGGUGAAAGCUGGGGGAGCAAACCGGAUUAGAUACCCGGGUAGUCCCAGCCGUAAACGAUGUGCGUUAGGUGUAUCGGUGACCACGAGUCACCGAGGUGCCGAAGAGAAAUCGUGAAACGUACCGCCUGGGAAGUACGGUCGCAAGGCUGAAACUUAAAGGAAUUGGCGGGGGAGCACCACAACAGGUGGAGCCUGCGGUUUAAUCGGACUCAACGCCGGGAAACUCACCAGAUAAGACAGCUGAAUGAUAGUCGGGCUGAAGACUCUACUUGACUAGCUGAGGGGAGGUGCAUGGCCGUCGUCAGUUCGUACUGUGAAGCAUCCUGUUAAGUCAGGCAACGAGCGAGACCCACGCCAACAGUUGCU